CAACCGCAGCUUACACAUGCAAGUCGAACGGUCUCUUCGGAGAUAGUGGCGGACGGGUGAGUAACGCGUGAGAAUCUAGCUUCAGGUCGGGGACAACCACUGGAAACGGUGGCUAAUACCGGAUGUGCCGAAAGGUGAAAGAUUUAUUGCCUGAAGAUGAGCUCGCGUCUGAUUAGCUAGUUGGUGUGGUAAGAGCGCACCAAGGCGACGAUCAGUAGCUGGUCUGAGAGGAUGAUCAGCCACACUGGGACUGAGACACGGCCCAGACUCCUACGGGAGGCAGCAGUGGGGAAUUUUCCGCAAUGGGCGAAAGCCUGACGGAGCAAUACCGCGUGAGGGAGGAAGGCUCUUGGGUUGUAAACCUCUUUUCUCAGGGAAUAAAAAAAUGAAGGUACCUGAGGAAUAAGCAUCGGCUAACUCCGUGCCAGCAGCCGCGGUAAUACGGAGGAUGCAAGCGUUAUCCGGAAUGAUUGGGCGUAAAGCGUCCGCAGGUGGCACUGUAAGUCUGCUGUUAAAGAGCAAGGCUCAACCUUGUAAAGGCAGUGGAAACUACAGAGCUAGAGUACGUUCGGGGCAGAGGGAAUUCCUGGUGUAGCGGUGAAAUGCGUAGAAAUA
This 615-nucleotide ribosomal RNA is filed under the name Anabaena sp. 270. RNAcentral describes it as "bacterial SSU rRNA". It matches the Rfam family "Bacterial small subunit ribosomal RNA", at positions 37 to 698 of the family's 1533-position model. The record is from RNAcentral. Lineage: Bacteria; Bacillati; Cyanobacteriota; Cyanophyceae; Nostocales; Nostocaceae.